GACAGAGGGUGCAAACGUUGUUCGGAAUUACUGGGCGUAAAGCGCGUGUAGGCGGCCAUGCAAGUCGGAUGUGAAAGCCCUCGGCUCAACCGGGGAAGUGCACUCGAAACUGCAAGGCUAGAGUCUCGGAGAGGAUCGUGGAAUUCUCGGUGUAGAGGUGAAAUUCGUAGAUAUCGAGAGGAACACCGGUGGCGAAGGCGGCCCACUGGUCCGGUACUGACGCUGAGGUGCGAAAGCGUGGGGAGCAAACAGG
Molecule: ribosomal RNA, 253 nt
Filed under: uncultured bacterium
Lineage: Bacteria
Description: partial 16S ribosomal RNA
Rfam family: Bacterial small subunit ribosomal RNA
Source: RNAcentral